UACGUAGGGUGCAAGGCGUUGUCCGGAAUUAUUGGGCGUAAAGGAGCUUGUAGGCGGUUUGUCGCGUCUGCUGUGAAAUUUCGGGGCUCAACCCCUGAACUUGCAGUGGGUACGGGCAGACUAGAGUGUGGUAGGGGAGACUGGAAUUCCUGGUGUAGCGGUAGAAAUGCGCAGAUAUCAGGAGGAACACCGGUGGCGAAGGCGGGUCUCUGGGCAAUAACUGACGCUGAGGAGCGAAAGCGUGGGGAGCGAACAGG
Molecule: ribosomal RNA, 257 nt
Filed under: uncultured bacterium
Lineage: Bacteria
Description: partial 16S ribosomal RNA
Rfam family: Bacterial small subunit ribosomal RNA
Source: RNAcentral